GUCGGUGUGAUGGAAUUGGCAGACGUGACGGACUCAAAAUCCGUUGGUAGCGAUACCGUGCGGGUUCAAGUCCCGCCACCGGCACCA
RNAcentral lists this transfer RNA (87 nucleotides) under Candidatus Faecivivens stercorigallinarum. RNAcentral describes it as "tRNA-Leu". It matches the Rfam family "tRNA". From Rfam's summary of the family: Transfer RNA (tRNA) molecules are approximately 80 nucleotides in length. Their secondary structure includes four short double-helical elements and three loops (D, anti-codon, and T loops). Lineage: Bacteria; Bacillati; Bacillota; Clostridia; Eubacteriales; Oscillospiraceae. The record is from RNAcentral. RNAcentral also lists the same sequence under 1 other name.